GCGGAAGUGUUGGAAUUGGUAGACAAGCAAGAUUAAGGUUCUUGUGGCUUCACGGUCGUGCGGGUUCAAGUCCCGCCUUCCGCA
Molecule: transfer RNA, 84 nt
Filed under: Lachnospiraceae bacterium
Lineage: Bacteria; Bacillati; Bacillota; Clostridia; Lachnospirales; Lachnospiraceae
Description: tRNA-Leu
Rfam family: tRNA
About the family: Transfer RNA (tRNA) molecules are approximately 80 nucleotides in length. Their secondary structure includes four short double-helical elements and three loops (D, anti-codon, and T loops).
Source: RNAcentral